UUCUGACCGUAAACGAUGCCAACUAGCGAUCCGCCGGCGGCUUCUUGGCCCUGGUGGGGAGCUUCCCGGAAACGAAAGUCUUCCGGUUCCGGGGGAAGUAUGGUUGCAAAGCUGAAACUUAAAGGAAUUGACGGAAGGGCACCACCAGGAGUGGAGCCUGCGGCUUAAUUUGACUCAACACGGGAAAACUCACCCGGCCCGGACACCGUGAGGAUUGACAGAUUGAUAGCUUUUUCAUGAUUCGGUGGAUGGUGGUGCAUGGCCGUUCUUAGUUCGUGGAUCGAUUUGUCUGGUUUAUUCCGAUAACGAGCGAGACUCCAGCCUACUAACUAGUGCGGGCAUUGUCUCUGUGCUUGUCACUUCUUAGAGGGAUUGGCUGCGUCUAGCGGCACGAAACGGAGCAAUAACAGGUCUGUGAUGCCCUUAGAUGUCCGGGGCUGCACGCGCGCUACACUGGCAAAAGCAACGUGCUUGUCCGCCUCCGAAAGGAGCCGGUAAACCCCUGAAAAUUUGCCGUGAUUGGGAUCGGAAAUUGCAAUUAUUUUCCGUGAACGAGGAAUUCCUAGUAAGUGCGAGUCAUCAGCUCGCGUUG
This 592-nucleotide ribosomal RNA is filed under the name Criconema permistum. Its description in RNAcentral is "SSU rRNA". It matches the Rfam family "Eukaryotic small subunit ribosomal RNA", at positions 1024 to 1643 of the family's 1831-position model. Lineage: Eukaryota; Metazoa; Nematoda; Chromadorea; Rhabditida; Criconematidae. The record is from RNAcentral.